UACGGGGGGAGCAAGCGUUGUUCGGAUUUACUGGGCGUAAAGGGCGCGUAGGCGGCCAGCACAAGUCAGUUGUGAAAUCUCCGAGCUUAACUCGGAAAGGUCAACUGAUACUGUGCGGCUAGAGUGCGGAAGGGGCAACUGGAAUUCCUGGUGUAGCGGUGAAAUGCGCAGAUAUCAGGAGGAACACCAAUGGCGAAGGCAGCUCGCUGGGACGGUACUGACGCUGAGACGCGAAAGCGUGGGGAGCAAACAGG
RNAcentral lists this ribosomal RNA (254 nucleotides) under uncultured bacterium. RNAcentral's name for it is "partial 16S ribosomal RNA". It matches the Rfam family "Bacterial small subunit ribosomal RNA", at positions 524 to 776 of the family's 1533-position model. The record is from RNAcentral.